UCCCGGAGGCCCAUGGGAAUGGGUGGCUGGGAUCUAAUGUUUCUUCACAUCAUGUAGAUGUGUCAAAAAGCUGAGUUGGUUCCCAUGCCAUCCAUUCCUAUCGUUCCCGGGA
This is a non-coding RNA of Vitis vinifera (wine grape), 112 nucleotides long. Lineage: Eukaryota; Viridiplantae; Streptophyta; Magnoliopsida; Vitales; Vitaceae. The record is from RefSeq and is marked provisional.